UGGGGGAUAUUGCACAAUGGGCGAAAGCCUGAUGCAGCGACGCCGCGUGGGGGAUGAAGGCCUUCGGGUUGUAAACUUCUUUUGCUCUGAACAAGGCAUGUUAAUGGGUGUGUUGAGUGUAGGGGUUGAUUAGCGCCGGCUAACUACGUGCCAGCAGCCGCGGUAAUACGUAGGGCGCGAGCGUUGUCCGGAAUUAUUGGGCGUAAAGGGCUUGUAGGUGGCUGGUUGCGUCUGUCGUGAAAGCUCAUGGCUUAACUGUGGGUUUGCGGUGGGUACGGGCUGGCUUGAGUGCAGUAGGGGAGGCUGGAAUUCCUGGUGUAGCGGUGGAAUGCGCAGAUAUCAGGAGGAAUACCGGUGGCGAAGGCGGGUCUCUGGGCUGUUACUGACACUGAGGAGCGAAAGCAUGGGGAGCGAACAGG
Molecule: ribosomal RNA, 419 nt
Filed under: bacterium
Lineage: Bacteria
Description: partial 16S ribosomal RNA
Rfam family: Bacterial small subunit ribosomal RNA
Source: RNAcentral